AUGGCGGCUCAGCCGCCGUCUUCCGGCUUACCGGCGGCAGCCGGAAACACCAAGCGCACCUCGAAGCGGAAGCCCAAGACAAAACCAGCCGCCCCCUCCGCCCUAAACCCUAACUGGGCCCAGCUCCAGUCCAAGCUCCCCGCGUCCACGUUCCUCGGCAAGCGCAAGCGCCCCGCCCCUUCUCCGCCCCCUGAGCCGUCUCCUACCCCGGAGGCAGCGGAGCUGAGUUUCAAGCUUGAGCCGACCUCUGACGACACCAGCUUGACGAAGGCGUUGGCGCUGGAUUGCGAGAUGGUCGGGGUUGGGGCCGGUGGCAGCAAGAGCGCCCUCGCCAGGGCCACCUUGGUUAAUUCCUUUGGCAACGUAGUAUAUGAUGAAUAUGUGCGACCAAUGGAGCGAAUUGUGGACUACCGUACCCAUAUUAGUGGGAUUAGACCUAAGCACAUGAAUAAAGCCAAAGAUUUCUCGAUCGUUCAGAAGGAUAUAGCUGAGCUUAUCACAGGAAGGGUUCUUGUUGGACAUGCCUUACACCAUGAUCUUAAGGUCCUGCUACUAGGCCACCCAAAAAAGGACAUAAGAGACACCUCAGAAUAUGAGGUUUUCCGACGGGAGGGCAAGCGAAGAUCGUUGAAAGAUCUUGCUGCUCAAGAACUUUCUGUUAAGAUACAGCAGCAAGAGCACUGCCCGAUUGAGGAUGCUCGCGCAGCAAUGUUCAUUUACAAGAAGCACAAGAAAAGUUGGGAGAAGAACAAGAAAGAGCAAUUCAGGUUCAAGAACAAGCAGAAGAAGCGAGGCAGUAAGAAAUCUGCUGAAGCCAAUGAGAAGGACCCCAAUGUCCCAAUAGUUCUACUCUAG
This 855-nucleotide ribosomal RNA is filed under the name Triticum aestivum (bread wheat). Its description in RNAcentral is "partial small subunit ribosomal RNA". Lineage: Eukaryota; Viridiplantae; Streptophyta; Magnoliopsida; Poales; Poaceae. The record is from RNAcentral.